RNAcentral lists this ribosomal RNA (777 nucleotides) under uncultured Neocallimastigales. RNAcentral describes it as "partial large subunit ribosomal RNA". It matches the Rfam family "Eukaryotic large subunit ribosomal RNA", at positions 24 to 643 of the family's 3401-position model. The record is from RNAcentral. Lineage: Eukaryota; Fungi; Neocallimastigomycota; Neocallimastigomycetes; Neocallimastigales.
UAUCUCUGUAGAGUCUGCAUAUCAAUAAGCGGAGGAAAAGAAACUAACAAGGAUUCCCUUAGUAACGGCGAGUGAAGCGGGAAGAGCUCAAAUUUGAAAUCUUCAAGGUUCUACCUUGACGAAUUGUAGUUUAAAGAAGUGUUUUCUGUUAGAGAGUUCGUAAAAGUUCUUUGGAAUAGGGACAUCAUAGAGGGUGAGAAUCCCGUAUUUGACCGUUAUUAUUCUAGCUGUGUGAUACACUUUCAAAGAGUCGGAUUGUUUGGGAAUGCAGUCCAAAAUGGGUGGUAAAUUUCAUCUAAAGCUAAAUAUUGGCGAGAGACCGAUAGCGAACAAGUACCGUGAGGGAGAGAUGAAAAGAACUUUGAAAAGAGAGUUAAACAGUACGUGAAAUUGUCAAAAGGGAAGCGUUUGACACCAGUGUUGUUUUUCCGAAAAUCAAUUACGAAUGGCUUGAUUUUGUGUUGUAUUGACCUUAUCAGCUUUCUUCACUUUUUUCGAGUCUUUCUUAAUGCACUUUUCGGUUAACAAGUCAACAUCAAUUUCUUUUGUUGUAAAAGAGUAUUCGGAAGGUGGCUUUCUUUUCGGAGAAAGUGUUUAUAGCCCUAUACUUCUACAAUCGGAGAGAUUGAGGUCUGCAGCGUAGAUCCUUCGGGGUUAGAUACACUUGUGCUAAGUUGUAGCUUUUCAUAGACAACUUGUUGACUAUGUUUAGUCAUGCGGCUUACUCGCUUAGUGCUAUUUUACCUACGCUUAGGAUGUUGACUGAUAUGUAGUCGU